Molecule: ribosomal RNA, 402 nt
Filed under: uncultured Choricystis
Lineage: Eukaryota; Viridiplantae; Chlorophyta; Trebouxiophyceae
Description: partial small subunit ribosomal RNA
Rfam family: Eukaryotic small subunit ribosomal RNA
Source: RNAcentral
GCUUGUCUCAAAGAUUAAGCCAUGCAUGUCUAAGUAUAAACGACUUUAUACUGUGAAACUGCGAAUGGCUCAUUAUAUCAGUUAUAGUUUAUUUGAUGGUCCUUGCUACUUGGAUAACCGUAGUAAUUCUAGAGCUAAUACAUGCAUCAAACCCCGACUUCUGGAAGGGUCGUAUUUAUUAGAUAAAAGGCCAGCCGGGCUUUGCCCGACCUGCGGUGAAUCAUGAUAACUUCACGAAUCGCACGGCCUCGUGCCGGCGAUGUUUCAUUCAAAUUUCUGCCCUAUCAACUUUCAACCGUAAGGUAGUGGCCUACGGUGGUGGUAACGGGUGACGGAGGAUUAGGGUUCGAUUCCGGAGAGGGAGCCUGAGAAACGGCUACCACAUCCAAGGAAGGCAGCAGG